Molecule: long non-coding RNA, 227 nt
Organism: Chanos chanos (milkfish)
Lineage: Eukaryota; Metazoa; Chordata; Actinopteri; Gonorynchiformes; Chanidae
Exons: 3
Source: RefSeq, a predicted model, not a curated record
GAGUGGUGUUUGCAGCCACAAGCGCCAUUGAUAAAUGGAUCCUUACCUUGUUCAGAGUCCCACUCGUAACUGGAAUUCUGCUGUUUUCUGCAGGAUUACUGUCUAACCUUCUGUACAAAUAUCCACGAUUGCUGAAUCUCUGUUUUGUGAUCAACAUUGGCUGUUUACUUGUGGCGACAGUUGGAGCCGCACUGAUAGGCUCUGAUCUCGCCAAGUAUCAGAGUACU